This is an RNA transcript of Brassica oleracea var. oleracea, 1411 nucleotides long. It is a transcript of the gene named protein REVEILLE 6-like, with no coding region annotated. Lineage: Eukaryota; Viridiplantae; Streptophyta; Magnoliopsida; Brassicales; Brassicaceae. The transcript is spliced from 8 exons. The record is from RefSeq and is a predicted model, not a curated record.
CGUCAUCCUCGUCCACAUUUCUCGCUUUACGCAACUUUCGACGAACGAACAAAAGCAGAAAAAAACCUAAAAUUUGUCUAGAAAUAUGAACCCUGCAGACGGAUCUUUCUUGGAUCCAAACGGUACUAUGACCGUACCUGCAAUUGGACCCUUGACUUCUUCGGAGGAUCUGAGCAAGAAGAUAAGGAAGCCUUAUACCAUUACCAUUUUUACUGAAUCAGGGUUUCUUAAUUACCGUGUUGGUUUCGAAUUCAAACAGAUUUGCGACUGGGCUUUGCUGAGGCGGUGGAAUUGAGGGUUAGAAAGUAAUUGAAGUUGUAACUAGUAAGGUUGGUAUCUAUAGUGGGAAGGAUCUUUGGUUUGACAGAGACUGGAAAAAGAUUGAAGCUUUCAUUGGCUCGAAGACUGUGAUUCAGAUAAGAAGUCAUGCUCAGAAGUAUUUUCUUAAGGUACAAAAGAGUGGGACUGCUGAACAUCUCCCUCCCCCUCGACCUAAAAGGAAAGCCGCUCAUCCGUAUCCUCAGAAGGCUCAAAUGAACGUUCUACCUCAAGUACCAGGAUCCUUCAAAUCAACAGCUGAACCAAAUGACCCAAGUUAUAUGUUUAGGCCCGAGUCUUCUUCGAUGCUGAUGACUUCUCCACCACCCACUGCUGCUCCCUGGACUAAUAAUGUGCAAACAAUUAGCUUCACACCCCUGCCAAAAGAAACAGCAGGAGCUAAUAACAACUGUUCUAGUAGCUCUGAAAAUACUCCAAGACCACGAUCCAGCAAGGACACAAUGCAAGCAAAUCCUGGCCAUUCAUUAAGAGUUUUACCGGACUUUGGCCAAGUAUACAGCUUCAUUGGAAGUGUUUUUGACCCAUAUGCAAGUAAUCAUCUACAGAAGCUGAAGAAGAUGGACCCCAUAGAGGUUGAAACAGUGCUACUGUUGAUGAGAAAUCUAUCAAUCAACUUGUCUAGCCCUGAUUUUGAGGUUCAUAGACGGCUUCUUUCGUCGUAUGAUAUCGGCUUUGAGACAGCAACUGAUCAUGGUGGAGUGUUUAAAACCUUAAACAAAGAACCACCAGAAAUCUCUACUUGAAGUUCAUUAAAAAGGGGGGGGAAGGUUAUGAUGAAAUGUCUCAGGUGAGCUAAACCCAUAUUGGUUAACAGAAUACAGAGUGAUUCUGUUGUGGGUUUUGUUUGUAAAUAUGAAGAAGAUGAAGCUGGCGUUGAGCAGUUAUAUAUACGUCUUUUGGAUUAUAUGCAUAGUGUAGUAUCUUUUAAUAAGUUAAAAAAAAAAGUACUGUUCGUCUUCUGUCUACGUGUUUUGGAGCUUUUGUUAAAGCAUGUGACAGUUCUGUGAUGGAGACCAGAACUGUUGACGUGUUCCCUUGCAUUAUAUUUUAGUGUAAUAUGAGACCGAAGAAA